Long non-coding RNA from Zophobas morio, 674 nucleotides. RefSeq lists it as uncharacterized. The record is from RefSeq and is a predicted model, not a curated record. The transcript is spliced from 3 exons. Lineage: Eukaryota; Metazoa; Arthropoda; Insecta; Coleoptera; Tenebrionidae.
AGGCACUCCAGGUACCAGUGUAACAAGAUAUGACCUUGGACCGGAGUUGAUGAUCGCCCUUUGAAAUAUGUCUUGCAAAGUUUCAUAGGUCGAUAUUUCCUGGGAUUCACACAACAAACAAACACACCAAAAUAUGUAGGAAAGGGAACAAAACAAAGAAGUCGGGUAGUUUUAGAGAGUAUGUUAUAAAUGGCCAACGUUCGGACAGACGGAACGAAAAUUUGCAUUUUCGUAUUCUACGACCCGUAAAAUGCAAAGAAGGCGCGGAGAGCAAAAGCAGUCAGAGUAGCAAGACUGAAGGGUGAAAAAAGUGUUACAGCUAGCGCAAAAUGCUGAUCCAUUUGGUCUAACACCGAAAAAUUCUCACCGAUGUGAGUCAGUCGGCCCAAACUCGUAUUCGGGUAUACGUGCCAUGUGAUUGUUGACUCAGUGGUUGCGUUUCCUUUUCACCGAGUGCCUGGCACGGAUGUAUGUGAAAGAUAUGGAGCGACAUAGUGUGUAGUCGCGAAGUGUUGAGAUGGCCUAUUAAUAUCACUUGAAGUGGUAGACACAUUCUAGGUACAAAGAGCUUCAUUGUAAUCAAAGGAAGCGAGAUGCUCGUCGUAUUAGCUCUAACGAGUUUCUUCCCCUCUAUUGGCUUGCAUACGUUUUGCAUUUCAAUACGUGGAAAGAAU